RNAcentral lists this long non-coding RNA (440 nucleotides) under Bos taurus (domestic cattle). RNAcentral describes it as "long non-coding RNA NONBTAT025605". The record is from RNAcentral. Lineage: Eukaryota; Metazoa; Chordata; Mammalia; Artiodactyla; Bovidae.
CCUAAGACAUGCUACAAAAAUAGGUCUUUAUUCUUAGGAAAAUAUAGUCAGAGCUAGCUUCCUUAUGCUAUACAUAAAAUCUUAACAUCAGAGGCAGUACAGAUAGUACAGAUAGUUUUUGAACUGAUCUCCAAACAAGCACAAACCCACUACGUUGAAAAGAACAGGUAAUUUUGAGGUUUUUGGCAAAAGACAGUACUUCACACAUCUAAUCCAAAUCAAAGAGCCUGCAGACAGUUUUCAGUGAGAUAAAAGGAAUGAAAUAAAUAUAAAUUCUACAGAUAAAUAAAUGUAAGAGAAUUUAAAUAAGCUAGCAGAACCUGGCCCUGAAAAAUAUUUUAGGCAUAUUACUGAAGGCAGACUGUGGUACUAAUAAAACUUGUAUCUUAAGUACUUUUUUAAAAAGUGACAGACAAAAAAGUCCAUCCACUAAUUUGCCC